Molecule: ribosomal RNA, 253 nt
Filed under: uncultured bacterium
Lineage: Bacteria
Description: partial 16S ribosomal RNA
Rfam family: Bacterial small subunit ribosomal RNA
Source: RNAcentral
UACGAAGGGGGCUAGCGUUGUUCGGAUUUACUGGGCGUAAAGCGCACGUAGGCGGAUCGUUAAGUCGGGGGUGAGAUCCUGGAGCUCAACUCCAGAACUGCCUUCGAUACUGGCGAUCUCGAGUCCGGAAGAGGUGAGUGGAACUCCUAGUGUAGAGGUGGAAUUCGUAGAUAUUAGGAAGAACACCAGUGGCGAAGGCGGCUCACUGGUCCGGUACUGACGCUGAGGUGCGAAAGCGUGGGGAGCAAACAGG